This 348-nucleotide unclassified non-coding RNA is filed under the name soil metagenome. Its description in RNAcentral is "partial contains 5.8S ribosomal RNA, internal transcribed spacer 2, and large subunit ribosomal RNA". The stretch from base 1 to 121 matches the Rfam family "5.8S ribosomal RNA", at positions 35 to 154 of the family's 154-position model. The record is from RNAcentral.
GAUGAAGAACGCAGCGAAAUGCGAUAAGUAAUGCGAAUUGCAGAAUUUCCGUGAAUCAUCGAGUCUUUGAACGCACAUUGCGCCCCCUGGCAUUCCGGGGGGCAUGCCUGUCCGAGCGUCAUUGCUGCCCUCAAGCACGGCUUGUGUGUUGGGUCGCCGUCCCCCUCCGGGGGGACGGGCCCGAAAGGCAGCGGCGGCACCGGGUCCGGUCCUCGAGCGUAUGGGGCUUCGUCACCCGCUCUGUAGGGCCGGCCGGCUGUCUGCCGACAACCUAUUUAAUUUUCUUCAGGUUGACCUCGGAUCAGGUAGGGAUACCCGCUGAACUUAAGCAUAUCAAUAAGCGGAGGA